UAGAGUUUGAUCAUGGCUCAGAGUGAACGCUGGCGGCGUAGAUUAGGCAUGCAAGUCGAGCGAUGAUUUUUAGAAAGUGACUGUCACCGUAAGGUGACUGUCACCGGAAAAAAAUCAUAGCGGCAGACUGGUGAGUAACACGUGAGUAAUUUACCUCUAAGUCGGGGAUAGCCUUGCGAAAGUGAGAGUAAUACCCGAUGUGUUUACGGCUGCAUAAGCAGUUGUAAGUAAAGGAGGCCCGCAAGGGUUUUUGUUUAGAGAUGAGCUCGCGUCCUAUCAGCUAGUUGGUGGGGUAAUGGCCUACCAAGGCGUAUGACGGGUAGCUGGCCUGAGAGGGUGGUCAGCCACAUGGGGACUGAGACACUGCCCCAACUCCUACGGGAGGCUGCAGUCGAGGAUAUUUAGCAAUGGACGAAAGUCUGACUAUGUGACGCCGCGUGAGGGAUGAAGGUCUUCGGAUUGUAAACCUCUUUCGAUAGGGAAGAAAACCUGCUUUAAUACAGCAGACUGACGGUACCUAGAGAAGAAGCCACGGCCAACUCUGUGCCAGCAGCCGCGGUAAUAAUCGAA
RNAcentral lists this ribosomal RNA (570 nucleotides) under uncultured bacterium. Its description in RNAcentral is "bacterial SSU rRNA". It matches the Rfam family "Bacterial small subunit ribosomal RNA", at positions 1 to 529 of the family's 1533-position model. The record is from RNAcentral.